Molecule: ribosomal RNA, 492 nt
Filed under: uncultured bacterium
Lineage: Bacteria
Description: partial 16S ribosomal RNA
Rfam family: Bacterial small subunit ribosomal RNA
Source: RNAcentral
AGUGAACGCUGGCGGUAGGCCUAACACAUGCAAGUCGAACGGCAGCACAGUAAGAGCUUGCUCUUACGGGUGGCGAGUGGCGGACGGGUGAGGAAUACAUCGGAAUCUACUUUUUCGUGGGGGAUAACGUAGGGAAACUUACGCUAAUACCGCAUACGACCUACGGGUGAAAGCAGGGGAUCUUCGGACCUUGCGCGAUUGAAUGAGCCGAUGUCGGAUUAGCUAGUUGGCGGGGUAAAGGCCCACCAAGGCGACGAUCCGUAGCUGGUCUGAGAGGAUGAUCAGCCACACUGGAACUGAGACACGGUCCAGACUCCUACGGGAGGCAGCAGUGGGGAAUAUUGGACAAUGGGCGCAAGCCUGAUCCAGCCAUACCGCGUGGGUGAAGAAGGCCUUCGGGUUGUAAAGCCCUUUUGUUGGGAAAGAAAAGCAGCAGGUUAAUACCCCGCUGUUCUGACGUUACCCAAAGAAUAAGCACCGGCUAACUUCGUG